GGCCCAAACUCCUAACGGAGGCAGCAGUAGGAUUCUGCACAUGACGCAGUCUGAUGAGCACGCGCGUGAGUGAGAUGCUUCGGGUCGUAAACUCUGUGUUGAGAAGAAUGGUCGGCAGAGUAACUGUGUCGGCGUGACGGUAUCCAACCAGAAAGCCACGGCUAACUACGUGCCAGCAGCCGCGGUAAUACGUAGGUGGCAAGCGUUAUCCGGAUUUAUUGGGCGUAAAGCGAGCGCAGGCGGUUUUUUAAGUCUGAUGUGAAAGCCCUCGGCUUAACCGAGGAAGCGCAUCGGAAACUGGGAAACUUGAGUGCAGAAGAGGACAGUGGAACUCCAUGUGUAGCGGUGAAAUGCGUAGAUAUAUGGAAGAACACCAGUGGCGAAGGCGGCUGUCUGGUCUGUAACUGACGCUGAGGCUCGAAAGCAUGGGUAGCGAACAGGAUUAGAUACCCUGGUAGUCCAUGCCGUAAACGAUGAAUGCUAGGUGUUGGAGGGUUUCCGCCCUUCAGUGCCGCAGCUAACGCAUUAAGCAUUCCGCCUGGGGAGUACGACCGCAAGGUUGAAACUCAAAGGAAUUGACGGGGGCCCGCACAAGCGGUGGAGCAUGUGGUUUAAUUCGAAGCAACGCGAAGAACCUUACCAGGUCUUGACAUCUUUUGAUCACCUGAGAGAUCAGGUUUCCCCUUCGGGGGCAAAAUGACAGGUGGUGCAUGGUUGUCGUCAGCUCGUGUCGUGAGAUGUUGGGUUAAGUCCCGCAACGAGCGCAACCCUUAUGACUAGUUGCCAGCAUUUAGUUGGGCACUCUAGUAAGACUGCCGGUGACAAACCGGAGGAAGGUGGGGAUGACGUCAAAUCAUCAUGCCCCUUAUGACCUGGGCUACACACGUGCUACAAUGGAUGGUACAACGAGUUGCAGACCGCGAGGUCAAGCUAAUCUCUUAAAGCCAUUCUCAGUUCGGACUGUAGGCUGCAACUCGCCUACACGAAGUCGGAAUCGCUAGUAAUCGCGGAUCAGCACGCCGCGGUGAAUACGUUCCCGGGCCUUGUACACACCGCCCGUCACACCAUGAGAGUUUGUAACACCCGAAGCCGGUGGCGUAACCCUUUUAGGGAGCGAGCCGUCUAAGGUGGGACAAAUGAUUAGGGUGAAGUCGAACAACGUGGCCUG
This 1168-nucleotide ribosomal RNA is filed under the name Lacticaseibacillus paracasei. Its description in RNAcentral is "bacterial SSU rRNA". It matches the Rfam family "Bacterial small subunit ribosomal RNA", at positions 328 to 1503 of the family's 1533-position model. The record is from RNAcentral. Lineage: Bacteria; Bacillati; Bacillota; Bacilli; Lactobacillales; Lactobacillaceae.